Long non-coding RNA from Danaus plexippus (monarch butterfly), 2614 nucleotides. RefSeq lists it as uncharacterized. The transcript has 2 exons. NCBI's taxonomy places the organism in Eukaryota, Metazoa, Arthropoda, Insecta, Lepidoptera, Nymphalidae. The record is from RefSeq and is a predicted model, not a curated record.
UAUCCGAGUAACUUUGGAAUCGGAUCUUUAAAACGUUCGGUCCACGAGACUUAAUGGAUUGCAGAUGCAUCUGUAACAACUGAUGUCAACUUAAAAAUUGUGUUCCAAAAACUAACAAAAUAAUAAUAUUAAUAUUCGAAGGUGAAAUAAUCUUAAUUAGGCGACGACCUUCAACUACAGGCAUGACGGUGGCUGCUAUAUAUUACGUAAAGAUAAAGAUAUGUUAAUGAACGGGAAGUCGCGAAGAAGCGGAUAUCGAACAUAGAAUCAAUAGCAUUUUAAAAAUAACACGAGCAUAUCUUUAAAUAAGACGCAAUCUAUUUAUAACCUAUUUUAUUAACUUAAUAGAUAAUAUCGUUGCAACAGAAUCAGAUAGUAUUGCUCUUAUUGCUAAAAUAUAGCUAGGGAUUCAAAUUGCUAAUAAUUAAAAAAACUCUUGGAACCUCUAAAUUUCAGUGACGAUUCCCGACGAGUUGUAGAUUCUGAAGUCAAUCGAUAGUAAUAUAAUGUUCACUAAAUAAAAAAAAGUGUAGUGUUUUUAUAUUGUUCUUAUAGUUUUAUAGAAUUAAAUGUGUUCAAUGUCCAGGCAGAGAUGUUGGUAACAAGGUUAUUCAGAUUGAAUAUUUAAAAUUUAGGAGUACUAAUACAACAGUACUCUAACAUAUGGCCUUGGUAUGACUACAAGCUUGCCACGUGGUACGAGCGACCAUCUUUGGCUUCUUCUUUAUAUUUUCUGGUAGGGGACGUCCAGAUUAUUACCAUUUUAUAAAAGACCGUCGUGUCCUCUGCACGUAAAUGACCAACAGUGACGCGUAUAAAUACACCAUCAAAACUAUGUCUGUUACUCUUAGUAGUUGUCGCCUAGAAACAGUAAAUGUUUACGAAUACCUGUGAUAUGUUACAAUAAAACUAUUUACAACUUAUUAUAGGAAUGUUAUUUCUAAUGUAAAGGUUACCCACAGUAAUCUGUUUCUAUAUAAACAUCUCUAUAACUCAUCACUCAUGUUCCCUAACUGGUGAUGUGGUGACGUCAAUCCAUCACUGUUCCAUCAUCGAUCAUCAUCAAUCGAUGAUAACUGAUCUGUGACGAGUCUCGCUUUGUAUUAUUGAUAUUUGAAUGCUGGUAAUGCUAUCUGAUACGGUAAGCCUGAUUACCUUGUUAUUUUGACUUUUACAUAAGUCUUACUUAGAAUACUCGAUGAAAAUUAUAUUAAUAAAAAAUAAUGGCAAGUGAAAUGAUUGCUAAAUAUUAAGUAAAUUCUUAUCUAAUUAUACAUGAACAUGUGUUUCAUUAUUCAACUCUUUAACGAACACUCUAUUAUUGUGACAUUUCUCAUUUGAAGUGUGACAUGCGUUUGAUUAUUUCCAUCAACAAGUUUGAUAUGAACGUUGUAUCAGCGGGUGUUUCUGAAGUGGAUUCACUUCCGAUCGGGAAAUUGUGAUCGGGAAUAAUCCUCAACAAAACAAGUCAUAAGGCUUGUUUCAUAACAAUUUACUAUUGAAUUGCGAUUCUAGUUAUUCCAAAACAGUACAGAAUUUUAGAAUUUUACCGGCAUUUAUAAUUAUUUUUCAACUUGGUAAAGCGCCUCCUCAUAUGUCUGCUGUAAAUAAUAUUUUGGCGAUAUUUUUUACUAUUUUCUAUUUAAUCGUCACACGUUUUUCUGUCAUUCUCGUCCUCCACAUUACAUGUAACAUAAACACUCAGACGAUUCCAGUAACCACUAUGUGGGAAUUGUAACAGAAGGAGUUAGUUGGUUUUUGAUUCAAGAAGAAACACCCUAAAUACUAAACUAAACUUCAUAAAACUAAGAUUUUAAAGUUAUGAAUACAAGAGAUGUUUUUAUUUUUUGUUAAAUAAACUAGGUUCCCAUAUAAAUAAAAUUAAGACAUGAAGUUACGAUAAAAAACUAUAUCUUAGUACUCGAAACCUUUCGCAAGAAAAACGAAAGGGCCAAUGGACAUAUAGGUUAGGUUAAUAAUAACAAACAACUACUAGCUUGUAAGUUAUAAUUGCAGGGUAGUUUUGAAGUGCGCACUUCUCCUUAAUGUCGCCAUGGGAGUUAGCGGAGCGUGUUUAGAAAGAAACCUUAUACACGUGCGAGUGUGCCGAAAUGAUAUCCCAUGUGACGGCCUGAAACUUCUCCAACUGUUUGCGGCGAGUUAUCAGAAUGUACCUCUCUGACGUUAUCUCGGCCAGCGCCCAGCCGUCAUCAACUCCCCACAUGCACCUUACAAUUUUAUUUCUUAAUCAACUCCUGAUUAUGUUCUUAGGUCAAUGAUAAAGUUUUUCUUUUCUCUUUUUUUUCAAAUAUUUUUUUUAAAGUAUAUGUAAAAUAAAAGAGCUUGUUUCUUAAUCGGUCCGUGAGGAACGAAUAUAAUUAAUUUAAAAAUUAGACGUCCAUAAAUAAUAUUAAAUCAUAGAGAAGAAUAUCACAUGUGUUUAAAACACGAACAUGUCGUGCAUGUUCUUUUUGAUAAAUUAAAUACUGUUUCGGCACAAGCAAACAGUUGUUUCGAUUGAGUUCGAUUGUUUUGUUUGUCUGAAGAAGUUGUUUAAUUACAUAAAUUGGUACAUGUUUUAAUACACAAAUAAAGUCUUAUAAGUAUAUCAGUA